AGGCAUAGAGCUGAAUUCGUAAGUUUCUUUGAAACUCUUGUAUCAUAUAGUAUGUAUCAUGAUAUAUAGCUUGCCACUAUACUUUUUGUUGUAGAUAGAAGAGCAUGGGAAGGAACCUGGUGAGGUGGAAUUCUAUAAGAUGACUCACACGCACCAUAAUGGCAACUUUGUCCGGAAAAAGUUGAGAGAUAUAGUUGUAUGUAUUCAUUAAUGAUUUGUGGAAUGAUUUUUUAUUAGUUUCAAUUUUU
This 248-nucleotide long non-coding RNA is filed under the name Phoenix dactylifera (date palm). RNAcentral's name for it is "long non-coding RNA (PDAC_LNC002663)". The record is from RNAcentral. Lineage: Eukaryota; Viridiplantae; Streptophyta; Magnoliopsida; Arecales; Arecaceae.